CUCUUUUUUCUUUGUUCGCUUUCCUUUUUCAUAUCACGGUGUCGAAAUGUAUCGAAAUGUAUGUAAUUAUGGUCAUCGCCUUCUCGCCUGAAUAAUUUCUCUGUUCUGGAGAAAUUUUGAUCUGGUGCUCGAGUUUCCUGGUUGGAGUUGUAACAAGGUGCAUGUGGUGGUUUGAGGAGAAGAUAGGCUCUCCCCUAUACUCUUAUUCGAUUAUAAACAGAUGAUGUCUCUAUCAAGAGGAGGAGCGUUGAAUCCUCUCUGAACCGGGGCUCAGCGUCUUGUCUUGGUGUAUGGAUGCGUUUUGUGCUCAUUGGAGUUGUCAGGUUCGCUCUGCCGAUGGGUUACAAGGUCUCCUGAUGAUUAUGAGUAUCCAGUCUAGUUGGAGUUCUAGCGUUUGUGGCUUUAGAGUUACGGGUUUCUUUGUCGGCUAUGUCAGUCUCAAUCUUCUCUCCGAUGAUCACACUUCAUAUUGCAUGUCCUCCUUGUGAUCUGGUUUCAAUUUUGGCCGGUUUCACUCGUUUGGAUUUUGGGCUUGUCAGAUUCGUUUCAUCUUCUAACUUUUGUAUCUCCAGCGUUGUGUGCCAGUGAUAUGCAAAGAAGAUUGGAUGGGGUUUUCUUGUUCAGACCAAAACAUCGUUUUUCAACCAUGAUAAAGUUUUUCCGCUGAUAUUUAUCGUAGAGGCCUGGGUGGGAUAUAGUCAUCAUAGUGUCAGGAUGUUCUUUUGGAUGUUUUGGUAGACUAGUCUUCUUCCUUUUUGCAGAAUCUGAUAUAUAUAUAUAUAUAUAUAUAUAUAUAUAUAUAUAUAUAUAUAUAUGUUGUCUUCCUGCCCCGCCUUGUUACAAAGUGUUUUUCAUUUUUGUUCUUCUAGGAUUGAGACAGUUUCCACUCUUAACCGA
Molecule: long non-coding RNA, 897 nt
Organism: Raphanus sativus (radish)
Lineage: Eukaryota; Viridiplantae; Streptophyta; Magnoliopsida; Brassicales; Brassicaceae
Exons: 2
Source: RefSeq, a predicted model, not a curated record